Molecule: unclassified non-coding RNA, 344 nt
Filed under: soil metagenome
Description: partial contains 5.8S ribosomal RNA, internal transcribed spacer 2, and large subunit ribosomal RNA
Rfam family: 5.8S ribosomal RNA (bases 1-120)
Source: RNAcentral
GAUGAAGAACGCAGCGAAAUGCGAUAAGUAAUGUGAAUUGCAGAAUUCAGUGAAUCAUCGAAUCUUUGAACGCACAUUGCGCCCCCUGGUAUUCCGGGGGGCAUGCCUGUCCGAGCGUCAUUGCUGCCCUCAAGCACGGCUUGUGUGUUGGGCCUCCGUCCUCCUCCCGGGGGACGGGCCCGAAAGGCAGCGGCGGCACCGCGUCCGGUCCUCGAGCGUAUGGGGCUUCGUCACCCGCUCUUGUAGGCCCGGCCGGCGCUUGCCGACACAUCAAUCUUUUUUCCAGGUUGACCUCGGAUCAGGUAGGGAUACCCGCUGAACUUAAGCAUAUCAAUAAGCGGAGA